AUUACAAAGCUUCCGGUUUCCCUUCCCGCUGUGUGUGAAGUCCUCCGUGCCGUCUGACCCACUUUAACUUUCUCAUUUGUUUGUUUUCUGGCUUCCCCUCUGGAAGCAUUGCCCCAUGAGGGGAAUGUGUGUGUUAUGGCUGCUUUCUUACCUUUGCCUGUGGCACUGUGCCAUGCGCAAGCGAGCUCAAGCGUUAAACACAGAAAGAAUACGAGGAAGAACACACAGCAGAUCUGAAAGCACCUUGGAAACCAGUGGCUGCUUUUACCAGCACCUACAUCUUUUAACAGGCUAUGGCUGGUUGUCAUAGAAAGGCCUCAUCCCUGGAAGGUUUCUGCAGAACCUGAAACUGCCAGACCCCUGACCUAAGAAAAUGGAAGUCUUAGGUGAUCAUGGACCCUAAUGGGGGCACCAAGGGAUUAAGAGAUUAUGAAAAGAAAAGUUUAAGACUAGAAAAUCCCCAUGUGAGGGCUGACUGGCCUAUGAACCACCAAGACAACCUAAAGUAGGUAAACUGAAGCUGGCCUGGCUUGGCCUCCCCCUGGGACCUUAAUGGACUCGCAUCCUGGGAGUCUGGGUCCCAAGACCUAAUCCCUCUUUUGGCAUCGCUUGAUGUUGGACUCAAAGGAGACGCUCCUCUGCCCUGCAAUAAGAACUCAGUGUGGCCACAGGCUCACCAGCCUUGUCGUCUUCCUGGGCCAUGGAGAAGACUGCAUUUCCCAGCCUCAACUCCCAAGGCGAUGACGUGCUAUGGUUGGCUCCCACCAAAACUCAUCUCGAAGUGUGGUUGCCGAGGCAAUUGUGUUGGUAAGCAAAACCUUUAAGGGGGAUAAUAUUUCCUUGUGAGGCUGGAUUAGUUCCUGCAGAGAUGGAUUAGUCCUCACAAAAGCUGCCUGUUAUAAAUUGGGUCAACUCUUUUGUCCCCUUCUUUCCCAGGCACCCACUGCCUAUCACUUGCAUGUCCCUUGCAGAGAUGGCACCCAGCAUGUCAUGACAACUUUACCAGUUUAGACCACCGAAUCUCCACCUUCUUGGCUUCCAGGACUGUGUGAUAAAUAAACCUACUUUCCUAGUGAAUUAUCUUGUAUAAGACGGUCUGCUAUAGAAGCAGUUCUCCACCUAUGGGUCAACUGACCCCUUCAUAGGGGUCUCCUAAGACUAGGAAACACAGAUAUUUACAUUAUGGUUCGUAACAGUAGCAAAAUUACAGUUAUGAAGUAGUAGCAAAAAUACUUGUAUGGUUGGGUUACCACAAAAUAAUGUUGUGUAUUAAAGGGUCUCAACAUUAGGAAGGUUGAGAACCACUGGGCUAUAGAAUCAUAAAAUGGACUAACAUACCAUGCAACUGGGUUCUUACAGAAGGUGUGUAUACAGACACGAUAUUUGCUAUUCCUAGGUCCAGCCUUUCCACUACCCCUAGAGUGACACUUCUUGCUUUGUCCCCUGCCUCCCACCAUGCCCAUGAGUUGAAGAUAAGGGUCUCAUAAAACAGAAGCAUCUUGGGAAGCUGAGGUCACAGGAUCAGAAGUUCAAGGACACUCUCUGCUACAUCUGCUGGUUUAGUUCCAGCUUGGACUACGUAAGACCCUGAGCCUUGUCCCCUGCACCACCACCCCCUGCCCAGGAAAAGAAGGAGAUUGGAUAUGGGAGUUGCUGUGCUCAGGCAAUUCAUUGACCUGGACUGUAUUUGUGCAAGCAAGAAAUAAACCUUUAUUACCACUGCA
RNAcentral lists this long non-coding RNA (1724 nucleotides) under Mus musculus (house mouse). RNAcentral's name for it is "RIKEN cDNA 4933424M12 gene (4933424M12Rik)". Lineage: Eukaryota; Metazoa; Chordata; Mammalia; Rodentia; Muridae. The record is from RNAcentral.